This 1910-nucleotide long non-coding RNA is filed under the name Marmota monax (woodchuck). The record is from RNAcentral. Lineage: Eukaryota; Metazoa; Chordata; Mammalia; Rodentia; Sciuridae.
GAGGAAAUAGCGUAUAAAGCAAAACAACAGUAGGGGAAUAGGUAUCCUCUAGUCUUCUCUCCUAGAAAGAUGAUCUUUGUGAUGUGAGGUAUACCUAGUCCUAAUAUCUACGGGUCUUAGUCCCAAUACUUACAAGUUUAAUUUUUUUUGUAUUUGUAAGAUACAUCUGGAGAAUGUUGAACGUGUAAAUAAUUUGGUGGUAGGGGGGUACAGGGAAUUAAGCUCAGGGGCUUGCAACCACUGAUCCACAUCCCCAGCCCUAUUUUGUAUUUUAUUUAGAGACAGGGUCUCAAUGACUUGCUUAGUGCCUCACUUUUGCUGAGGCUGGCUUUAAAUUCUCCAUCCUCCUGCCUCAGCCUCUUGAGCUGAGCUGUGUGCGUGGUAAAUAAUUUAAAAAAAAUUUUUUUUCUUUUGUAGUUGUAGAUUGGCUGAAUGCCUUUAUUUUGUUUAUUUUUAUGUGGUGCUGAGGAUUGAACCCAGUGCCUCACGCAUGCUAGCUAAGUGCUCUGUCAUUGAGCUACAGCCCCAGUCUGGUAAAUAAUUUGUUGUCUGGAUUAAAAAAAAAAAAUUUAACAUUUAAGAGGCCGGCUGAAUUGGAAGGAGAGAAUUUCUUUCUUAGCCACAGUUUCUCCUUGGAUAACUAAAGGUUUCUUUUUCUGGUUAUUUUUUUGAACUUUUAAAACAUAAUGUAAAUAGGUAAGAAUCGCUGGUUUUAGUCUUUUUCAUCCAUGUAGUUGGUUGCGUCAUCUGGCAGGUAUGGUGCAUUGAAUGCAGACUUCUCUUUGGGCUAGGUCUAGACUCAAAUAGAAUAAAAUUUGUUCUCUUUCAACAAUAUCUAGCAUGUAUUGGGUAUGCAGUGCCAUUGUAAAAUUUCAUUAAUUUGGAUUGGCUAAUAUAAAUUCAUCUGAAGUGGACUUUGGGUUCACACUGAAUCAAUGGGGGGUGGUGGUGGUGCUUGUUUGUAGGACAGAUUGGCAGGUUUACAUCCUGCCUGUUGCAAUAGUAUCAUGGAUUAGGAUUAGCAGUUCUUUCUUAGACAAGUUCCUUUUGCAUACUCCAGGAACAGUUUGCUUUCUAUCUAUUUAAUAUUUAUUGGGUAUUGGAAAUCGAACCCAGGGAUUCUACCACUCAGCUAUGUCCCCAGUCCCUUAAAAAAAAAUUUUUUUUUUUUUUUUUGAGACAAUGGUCUCCCUGAGUUAACUGAUGCUAGCCUUGAACUUGGGCUCUUCCUUUCUCAGACUCCCUUUUGCAGGGGGAUUACAGGUGUGUGCUGUGUGUCAUUUUGCCUGGCCGGAUUGCUAUCCUUAUUUCUGUUUCUAGGCUGUCAGGAGCUUAUUCUUGGAGUUCAUUGUUGAUCUAGUUCAGCGUUUUAGCUGCACGUAAUUAUAUCUUGUAGAAGCACCAUCACCUUAACCCGUUUUGCUGGUAUGUAGCUCAGUGGUAGACAGCUUGUGUGAGAAAGGCCCUGUUUUUUUCUUUCUUUUCCUUUUUCCUUUUUUGGUGCUGGGGAUUAAUUUAGGGCCUUGUGCAUGCCUGGCAAGCACUCUACCUGCUGAGCCCAAGGCCCUGGUUUUGAUUUCUAACACUUCAAAAAAAUAACACAAAAUUUAGGUCCCCUGUGGUACCCCCCACCCCCAAGCAGUAGUAGCAGGGUGUCUGGCAUCUGGUGGGAAUGCAUCAUCUGUGUGAAGAGUGUGUGUUGGAGUACAUGCCUGUAAUCUCAGUGGCCGAGGAGGCUGAGACAGGAGGAGUUCAAAGUCAGCUUCAGCAAAAAAAAAAAAAAACCAGGUGCUAAGCAACUCAGUGAGACCCUGUCUCUAAAUAAAAUAUAAAACAGGGAUGGGGAUGUGGCUCAGUGGCCAAGUGCACCUGAGUUCAAUUCCCGGUACCAAAUAAAAGAGUGAAUGUUG